Molecule: ribosomal RNA, 932 nt
Filed under: uncultured bacterium
Lineage: Bacteria
Description: bacterial SSU rRNA
Rfam family: Bacterial small subunit ribosomal RNA
Source: RNAcentral
UACUGGGCGUAAAGCGUACGUAGGCGGAUUAAUAAGUUAGAGGUGAAAUCCCAGGGCUCAACCCUGGAACUGCCUUUAAAACUGUUAGUCUUGAGAUCGAGAGAGGUGAGUGGAAUUCCAAGUGUAGAGGUGAAAUUCGUAGAUAUUUGGAGGAACACCAGUGGCGAAGGCGGCUCACUGGCUCGAUACCGACGCUGAGGUACGAAAGUGUGGGGAGCAAACAGGAUUAGAUACCCUGGUAGUCCACACCGUAAACGAUGAAUGCCAGACGUCAGCAAGCAUGCUUGUUGGUGUCACACCUAACGGAUUAAGCAUUCCGCCUGGGGAGUACGGUCGCAAGAUUAAAACUCAAAGGAAUUGACGGGGGCCCGCACAAGCGGUGGAGCAUGUGGUUUAAUUCGACGCAACGCGCAGAACCUUACCAACCCUUGACAUACUUGUCGCGGAUUCCAGAGAUGGAUUCCUUCAGUUCGGCUGGACAAUGUACAGGUGCUGCAUGGCUGUCGUCAGCUCGUGUCGUGAGAUGUUCGGUUAAGUCCGGCAACGAGCGCAACCCACGUCCUUAGUUACCAGCAUUUAGUUGGGUACCCUAAGGAGACUGCCGGUGAUAAGCCGGAGGAAGGUGUGGACGACGUCAAGUCAUCAUGGCCCUUACGGGUUGGGCUACACACGUGCUACAAUGGCAUCUACAGUGAGUUAAUCUCCAAAAGAUGUCUCAGUUCGGAUUGGGGUCUGCAACUCGACCCCAUGAAGUUGGAAUCGCUAGUAAUCGCGGAACAGCAUGCCGCGGUGAAUACGUUCCCGGGCCUUGUACACACCGCCCGUCACACCAUGGGAAUUGGGUCUACCCGAAGGUGGUGCGCCAACUAUUUAUAGAGGCAGCCAACCACGGUAGGUUCAGUGACUGGGGUGAAGUCGUAACAAGGUAGCCA